RNAcentral lists this ribosomal RNA (526 nucleotides) under uncultured bacterium. RNAcentral's name for it is "bacterial SSU rRNA". It matches the Rfam family "Bacterial small subunit ribosomal RNA", at positions 983 to 1509 of the family's 1533-position model. The record is from RNAcentral.
GACAUACUAAGAACUUUCCAGAGAUGGAUGGUGCCUUCGGGAACUUAGAUACAGGUGCUGCAUGGCUGUCGUCAGCUCGUGUCGUGAGAUGUUGGGUUAAGUCCCGCAACGAGCGCAACCCUUUUCCUUAUUUGCCAGCGGGUAAUGCCGGGAACUUUAAGGAUACUGCCAGUGACAAACUGGAGGAAGGCGGGGACGACGUCAAGUCAUCAUGGCCCUUACGGCCAGGGCUACACACGUGCUACAAUGGUCGGUACAAAGGGUUGCUACCUCGCGAGAGGAUGCUAAUCUCAAAAAGCCGAUCGUAGUCCGGAUCGCAGUCUGCAACUCGACUGCGUGAAGUCGGAAUCGCUAGUAAUCGCGGAUCAGAAUGCCGCGGUGAAUACGUUCCAGGGCCUUGUACACACCGCCCGUCACACCAUGGGAGUUUGUUGCACCAGAAGUAGGUAGUCUAACCGCAAGGAGGACGCUUACCACGGUGUGGCCGAUGACUGGGGUGAAGUCGUAACAAGGUAAGCGUAGAUGA